RNAcentral lists this long non-coding RNA (1035 nucleotides) under Homo sapiens (human). RNAcentral describes it as "novel transcript". The record is from RNAcentral. Lineage: Eukaryota; Metazoa; Chordata; Mammalia; Primates; Hominidae.
GGAGAUACUUAGGCUCCCCAGAGAAAUUAGUCACAAGUCUUAUCCCUUCAUCUCCAUUUACAGCCAUUUAUUUGGGAGCAACAUACUUUAAAUGAGUGAUAAACAAAAUGUCUCCCCACAGCCCCCACCCCAGCAUGUGUUCUGAAGUUCACAGGAAGGCUUCUCCUCAUUUGCUUUGGGGCCCGCAGGCUGCCUGCUAACAGCUGGGUCUUCCCAUGAACAAAUUAGACAGUUAAUGUUCCAGGAUGAAGAGGGCUUCGGGGAACAGAAUCUGCCGUUUAUUUGACUUGCUUCAUUAGACACAGUGCCAUCAUACCAAAAUUAGAAAAAAGAAGGAACUCAGCGGAAAUCAGCUACACAAGAAGAACCUCUCAGUUCUGAGAAUUCACAUUAACCAGUGAUUAAGAAAUAUUAAAAAGGGCUGAUAGUCCACUACGUUAUCAAGUUCAAAGCCUAAGAAAUAUUGAACAUUUCCACACAUGAAUGUGGGUACUAUGUUUAAUUUGAGAAUGGCCAACUGUCCUCGAAGUCUCAAUCUCUUUGGAGCCUACCAGCUCCGAGAGAAGUUUGAGGAUGCUGCAAAACCCUCCCCUGCAAAUCCAUCUACUCCUCCCACUUCUAUCCUAAUGGGUAUAGUUCUUGGCUGUGCUGAGGAUCUGUAAGGCACCAGAUGUGAAAGUAAGGAAGAAAGAUGGAUGUGGAAGAAAGUCACUGCCCAGAGAAUAAGGAGACCUGGAUUCUAAUCUCAGCUCUGCCAUUAACUAGCUUCUAUACUUUAUCCAAGAAAGAAUAAAUCAUUUCCAAAUAUUUUCAAAGAUGAAACUAUGGCUCAAAAGGGAAUAAGAGAUCAAGGCAAGCAUGGACAUCUUGUACGUGGAAGUGCAGACCAGAACUUGUAUCACAGCCAGUCAUAUCUGGUGCUUUCCAUGCUACUUUUACAUACAUGUAUCCUUAAAUUUGAUCCUCUUCUAGUUUAGUCUAAACUCUUUACUUUGUAACUUCCAAACCUAAAAGGUGCAGCAGACAUUGACAAUC